AGAAGAUGAUGACUUUCUGUGGCAAUAAGGAUUUUUACCAGGUCUUUAUUUGGUGCCCAAGAAUAAGACUUUUCUUGUGUUUCGGAUUUUCAAGAAAAUAAGAACACUCCUUAUAAGAAGCUGUUACCCAGCAUCAGAUCUCUGAAUGCAGCUGACUGAAAAGUGGGCUUUUGCAUGCAAGGUGGAAAUCCAUAUUCAGUUGAAGGUAGACCAAUUUGCUACUAAGUUCGUUUCUCCAGCCUGGGCUAUAAAAAAGCAGCAUCCUUUGGGAAGCAUUUCGCACUUACUGCAAUAUUCCAGCGAUGCCAAGACGAAAUCUCAGUGAGCUCCAUGCUUACUCAGGGACAUGGAUGAAGCUGGAAACCAUCAUUCUCAGCAAACUGACACAAGAACAGAAAACCAAACACCACAUGUUCUCACUCAUAGGUGAGUGUUGAACAAUGAGAGCACCUAAGUAGGUGUUGAUUUUUAUAAAUUAUACUUGUAUCCUCAAACCAUGUUGAAUUCUCUUAUUCUAAAAAUUUAUUUGCACAUUAUCUUGCUUUUUAUUGAAUAAUCAUAUUGUUUGUGAAUAGUGCCCAAUAGGGAGGGGAACA
Molecule: non-coding RNA, 596 nt
Organism: Callithrix jacchus (white-tufted-ear marmoset)
Lineage: Eukaryota; Metazoa; Chordata; Mammalia; Primates; Cebidae
Source: RefSeq, a predicted model, not a curated record